CCUACGGGUGGCAGCAGUGGGGAAUAUUGGACAAUGGGGGGAACCCUGAUCCAGCCAUGCCGCGUGUGUGAAGAAGGCCCUCGGGUUGUAAAGCACUUUCAGUGAGGAAGAACGCCUGGUGGUUAAUACCCAUCAGGAAAGACAUCACUCACAGAAGAAGCACCGGCUAACUCCGUGCCAGCAGCCGCGGUAAUACGGAGGGUGCGAGCGUUAAUCGGAAUUACUGGGCGUAAAGCGCGCGUAGGUGGCUUGAUAAGCCGGUUGUGAAAGCCCCGGGCUCAACCUGGGAACGGCAUCCGGAACUGUUAAGCUAGAGUGCAGGAGAGGAAGGUAGAAUUCCCGGUGUAGCGGUGAAAUGCGUAGAGAUCGGGAGGAAUACCAGUGGCGAAGGCGGCCUUCUGGACUGACACUGACACUGAGGUGCGAAAGCGUGGGUAGCAAACAGGAUUAGAUACCCUGGUAGUC
RNAcentral lists this ribosomal RNA (465 nucleotides) under Vreelandella stevensii. RNAcentral describes it as "partial 16S ribosomal RNA". It matches the Rfam family "Bacterial small subunit ribosomal RNA", at positions 338 to 795 of the family's 1533-position model. Lineage: Bacteria; Pseudomonadati; Pseudomonadota; Gammaproteobacteria; Oceanospirillales; Halomonadaceae. The record is from RNAcentral.